This 164-nucleotide small nuclear RNA is filed under the name Callithrix jacchus (white-tufted-ear marmoset). RNAcentral's name for it is "U1 spliceosomal RNA (ENSCJAG00000084835.1)". It matches the Rfam family "U1 spliceosomal RNA". Rfam says of the family: U1 is a small nuclear RNA (snRNA) component of the spliceosome (involved in pre-mRNA splicing). Its 5' end forms complementary base pairs with the 5' splice junction, thus defining the 5' donor site of an intron. Lineage: Eukaryota; Metazoa; Chordata; Mammalia; Primates; Cebidae. The record is from Rfam by way of RNAcentral.
AUACUUACCUGGCAGGGGAGAUACCAUGAUCACGAAAGUAGUUUUCCCAGGGCGAGGCUUAUCCAUUGCACUCCAGAUGUGCUGACCCCUGCAAUUUCCCCAAGUGUGAGAAACUAGACUGCAUCAUUUGUGGUAGUGGGGGACUGCAUUUGUACUUUCCCCUG